UAACAGAACGUAGGAAUUAUAUUGAAACUAUAAUCAUGGGAAAAAAAUCAUUUAAAUUUACAUAGCAACAUACGAAAGUAACAUGUUGUAGUCGUUUAUGUUGCUGUUAUUAAUUUGAAUUGGGAGGAAAUAAGCAGUGUCUUGUCGAGGGAGCAACAUCAUGUUUAAACAAUGAUGUUUUGGAAAGUUUCCUGCUUAUACGCCCAUAUCUAUGCAUUUUCAUGGUACCAUUCUACAAACAUUAGGCUGAGAAAAAAGGAAACCAACUCCUGCAAUUCAUAGUCCAUCAAGCCGCAUAAACGACACUUACGUCGAACUUGAACAAAAGCGGAGUUCUUCAAAGUUCAUAGACAAAAAACACAGGUUUCCAGACAGUACUUGCCUCCACUCAGCCAAAUCACACAGCAAAACCACAAUUGUAUUUGCUUCUACUCGCGCAGAGAAAAGCAUCAAGUGAAAUAGUCAUAGUGUUGACUUAUCGGGUGUAACCAACAAGAGUCGACCUAAGCCAACAGUUCGAGACGUUCUACACUUAUACGAUUUUGUAUAGACUAGCGUUAGAAUUGUAUCACUAAAACUCAUAGUUGAGACAGUUCUAAAUCAUCACCCAACCUAUCUAUACCCAAAUCUUCAUGAACCAUCUGAACCAUAUCUUCAAACUACAAACCUUCUUUAAUGGUAAAUAAUUUUCCUUCUUUUUUGUAUUCACCAUGAAAUUCCAUAAUUCUUUAUUCA
Molecule: long non-coding RNA, 735 nt
Organism: Brassica napus (rape)
Lineage: Eukaryota; Viridiplantae; Streptophyta; Magnoliopsida; Brassicales; Brassicaceae
Exons: 2
Source: RefSeq, a predicted model, not a curated record